GAAUCUGGGCAAGGCAAAGUUCUUC
Molecule: non-coding RNA, 25 nt
Filed under: Drosophila melanogaster (fruit fly)
Lineage: Eukaryota; Metazoa; Arthropoda; Insecta; Diptera; Drosophilidae
Source: RNAcentral